UAGUGCAAUGGAUUUAAGCUUCAUAAAUAAAGUAUGUUACUUUUAUUAGAA
Molecule: transfer RNA, 51 nt
Filed under: Nycterophilia sp. n. SM-2012
Lineage: Eukaryota; Metazoa; Arthropoda; Insecta; Diptera; Streblidae
Description: partial tRNA-Leu
Source: RNAcentral